Molecule: long non-coding RNA, 1392 nt
Organism: Meleagris gallopavo (turkey)
Lineage: Eukaryota; Metazoa; Chordata; Aves; Galliformes; Phasianidae
Source: RefSeq, a predicted model, not a curated record
GGCAGCGGGUGGCGCCUGCGCAGUGUCUGGAGAGGGGCUGGGAGCAGGAAGGUGGGAGUGGUUGAGAAACGGCGCUUUGAGUGGCUGUUGCCACUGUGUGCCUCAAAGACAAUCAUCCAGACUAUUCAGACCAUUACGCCUACACUAUUUGGUUUGUUAUUCAGCUGUAAUAGCUGGAAUAUUCUAUUGUGAAACCAUGCCGUCACGACUUGGUGUGAAGGGGAGACUGGCUGCUUAACUUCUACUAUCCGACAGGAACCUUUGCUGCCCAGGAAUGGAGCACCGCCAGGGGGUGUUAUGAGCACCCGUGUUCUGCUUUAGAACGUAGAAAUGAGUUCUAUGCUCUAUCCAGUCCUUUUUCCUGGGACUGGGAGAGAAACCAACGCGAGGUGGGGGUUGGCCUCUUCUCCCAGUCUAUUUAUAAACUUAAUGGAACCAAGUGAAGCAAGAAUAAAUAUUUUCCUGAUGAAUGGGGAUGUUUAAACCUCAUAUAAUACAACUGGACAACGCUUCUCAAUGUGCUGAUUGUAAAAAUAGCACAAUCCUUAUUCGCUGAUAGAUUCAACUAUUGUAAGGAGCCAUUGACAGAGGUGAAGUAAGAAGACUGCAGGUAAUGUCCGCCUUUUCUUUUUGAAGCUUUAUCAUAUUUUUCUGUUGUAUUUUACAGGCAGUGGGUAAUGCUUGCAAGUUAAUGAGAUAUUAGAAUUAUUUCAAACAAGUGGUACGAGUUUCAGUACCAAAACUAAUAACAGGUAUUGAUUACAGCUAACAGGUAUUGCUACAGUGAAAGAUGACAUGCAUGUAAGAAAUGUUUUUAGAUCUAUUAUUACAGGUUUGGUUAUAAACAUUCCCUCUUUAACAAGACUUGUAUCUAAAAUGUCGUUGAUGUUUAGUUGCAUCUAAAUGACCUCUGAUUAAAGAAUACUAAUGGGCCUCUUUCACCACUGAAUCGUACUUGUCGACAGCAGUCAGCUAUACAUGUGGGAAAUAAGCCAUCAGAGUAUGGCAGACAUUUCUGGAAAAGUGGUUUCCAGUAAUCUUUGGUAAUUUUGUGAGCGUGCAGAGUAACUGGGCAGUUUGCAAAGCAGGCACAUUUUUUUUUGAUGUAUUUUAUUCAACAAUGGUAUAUAUGUUACAAAUACCUAUUUUUGUGAUUGACUUAUAUGCAGUGACUACACAGCAAUUAUUGAUAGAUACAUAAAUACAUAAAGAACAAAGAGUUGUUUUACAAAAACUUAUGAUGCACGUGAUUUUAUCAGCUCUAGUAUUGAAUGCACUUUUUGUUUCACGUGGAAGUUUAUCUAUUCAGUGACUGCUAUGACUGAUUGAAAAGAAUGGGAAAACCUUUAUAGAGAAGACCAAUAAAAAUGCAUUCGUUUUCAUGUAUGUAUA